RNAcentral lists this long non-coding RNA (619 nucleotides) under Vombatus ursinus (common wombat). RNAcentral describes it as "lncRNA (ENSVURG00010005901.1)". The record is from RNAcentral. Lineage: Eukaryota; Metazoa; Chordata; Mammalia; Diprotodontia; Vombatidae.
ACUAGGUUCAACAAAUACCAUCAAAAGAAGAUGCCGAUAGAACACAUGUCUUCACAAAUCUCUGUCCAGGGAGCUGUAGAUAUACCUCAUGUUUUUAGGAUCCUUCAUUUUAUUGUGUCCUUUGGGUGACCCCAGGAUCUCUUUGGAGAUUAGGCCUGGCUAUGUUAAAAGGAAGAAAAUACAAAUGCCACCAAGAAAGGUAAUCACAACCUUUAUUUAAAACAUGAAAACGAACCAAAGAUGAGAAGAUGACUGUGAUUAGGAGCGGCCCUGAUGAAUUCCCUGAUGCAUCGUCUUUCUUCCCACCCACAAUUUGAAGAGGCUCUACCAAAAAGAAGACAAAGCUGUUAGACAAAUCCCUGGAGGCAUUCCCUUUUUAAAAAUGUUUUUUAAAUUUUUUCCAAUUACAUAUAAAAAAACAAUUUUUAUCAUUCAUUUUUUCAAGUUUUGAGUUCCAAAUUUUCUCCCUCCUUCUUUCCCUUUCAAAAGGCAAGCAAUUUGAUAUAGGUUAUACAUAUAUAGUCAUGUAAAACAUAUUUCCACAUUAGUCCUGUUGUGAAAAAAAAUCACAGACAAAAAAAAAAAGAGAAAUAAAGGAAGUAAAAAAGAGUAUGCUUCA